UGACUUGCAUCAUUGGGGAAAGAAGGUUUUUUCCCACGGGACUGGUUUCUUGCCCACACACUGACAAGUACCGCUUCCAUUGGAAAUUUGGUUGGCUUGCCGAUCAGCUGCAUGACACACUGCAGCAAAAAAUCUUCACAACCAUCGGACAUUGCACACACACAAACCAUCAGCGACUCUUGCACUCUCUUUGUGUCGUCUUCAUCCUUAGUGAUUUGGAUGCCAGCACAGUGUUUAGUCGUUUUUUAUCUUGCUCUAUGUAAUUUUGCAUGAAAUUUUCUAAUUUUUAUUGUGAUGUGUCCCUUUCUGAGGUGGGAAAUUUAUUUCCUACAGUUUUUUGACAAAAAAAACAGCCCCAUGCUGAUAGCCUGAAGAAGCCAAUAAACAUUUGGCGAAACGCGUCGCUGGAUAGCAUAAA
Lutzomyia longipalpis is the source of this 418-nucleotide long non-coding RNA. RefSeq lists it as uncharacterized. Lineage: Eukaryota; Metazoa; Arthropoda; Insecta; Diptera; Psychodidae. The record is from RefSeq and is a predicted model, not a curated record. The transcript is spliced from 2 exons.